This 466-nucleotide ribosomal RNA is filed under the name uncultured bacterium. Its description in RNAcentral is "partial 16S ribosomal RNA". It matches the Rfam family "Bacterial small subunit ribosomal RNA", at positions 28 to 507 of the family's 1533-position model. The record is from RNAcentral.
GACGAACGCUGGCGGCGUGCUUAACACAUGCAAGUCGAACGGAAAGGCCAGUGCUUGCACUGGUACUCGAGUGGCGAACGGGUGAGUAACACGUGGGUGAUCUGCCUUGCACUCUGGGAUAAGCUUGGGAAACUGGGUCUAAUACCGGAUAUGAACUGCCUUUAGUGUGGUGGUUGGAAAGUUUUUUCGGUGCAAGAUGAGCUCGCGGCCUAUCAGCUUGUUGGUGGGGUAAUGGUCUACCAAGGCGUCGACGGGUAGCCGGCCUGAGAGGGUGGACGGCCACAUUGGGACUGAGAUACGGACCAGACUCCUACGGGAGGCAGCAGUGGGGAAUAUUGCACAGUGGGCGGAAGCCUGAUGCAGCGACGCCGCGUGGGGGAUGACGGCCUUCGGGUUGUAAACUCCUUUCGACAGGGACGAAGCGUAAGUGACGGUACCUGUAUAAGAAGCACCGGCUAACUACGUG